GAAUAUUGGUCAAUGGGCGCAAGCCUGAACCAGCCAUGCCGCGUGCAGGAUGAAGCAUCUAUGGUGUGUAAACUGCUUUUAUACGGGAAGAAACCCCGCCUCGUGAGGCGGACUGACGGUACCGUAAGAAUAAGGACCGGCUAACUCCGUGCCAGCAGCCGCGGUAAUACGGAGGGUCCAAGCGUUAUCCGGAAUCAUUGGGUUUAAAGGGUCCGUAGGCGGGCCUGUAAGUCAGUGGUGAAAUCUCCCGGCUCAACCGGGAAAUUGCCAUUGAUACUGCAGGUCUUGAAUUAUUGGGAAGUAACUAGAAUAUGUAGUGUAGCGGUGAAAUGCUUAGAGAUUACAUGGAAUACCGAUUGCGAAGGCAGGUUACUACCAAUACAUUGACGCUGAUGGACGAAAGCGUGGGUAGCGAACAG
This 419-nucleotide ribosomal RNA is filed under the name uncultured bacterium. RNAcentral's name for it is "bacterial SSU rRNA". It matches the Rfam family "Bacterial small subunit ribosomal RNA", at positions 359 to 775 of the family's 1533-position model. The record is from RNAcentral.